UGGGGAAUCUUGGACAAUGGGCGCAAGCCUGAUCCAGCCAUGCCGCGUGAGCGAUGAAGGCCUUAGGGUUGUAAAGCUCUUUCACCGGUGAAGAUAAUGACGGUAGCCGGAGAAGAAGCCCCGGCUAACUCCGUGCCAGCAGCCGCGGUAAUACGGAGGGGGCUAGCGUUGUUCGGAAUUACUGGGCGUAAAGCGCACGUAGGCGGACCAGAAAGUUGGGGGUGAAAUCCCGGGGGCUCAACCCCGGAACUGCCUCCAAAACUAUUGGUCUAGAGUUCGAGAGAGGUGAGUGGAAUUCCAAGUGUAGAGGUGAAAUUCGUAGAUAUUUGGAGGAACACCAGUGGCGAAGGCGGCUCACUGGCUCGAUACUGACGCUGAGGUGCGAAAGUGUGGGGAGCAAACAGGAUUAGAUACCCUGGUAGUCCACGCCGUAAAACGAUGAGUGCUAGUCGUCGGCAGGCAUGCCUGUCGGUGACGCAGCUAACGCAUUAAGCACUCCGCCUGGGGAGUACGGCCGCAGA
This 521-nucleotide ribosomal RNA is filed under the name uncultured bacterium. RNAcentral's name for it is "bacterial SSU rRNA". It matches the Rfam family "Bacterial small subunit ribosomal RNA", at positions 355 to 892 of the family's 1533-position model. The record is from RNAcentral.